Molecule: ribosomal RNA, 1042 nt
Filed under: Staphylococcus pseudintermedius
Lineage: Bacteria; Bacillati; Bacillota; Bacilli; Caryophanales; Staphylococcaceae
Description: partial 23S ribosomal RNA
Rfam family: Bacterial large subunit ribosomal RNA
Source: RNAcentral
CGAAAACGAAUUCUCUCUUGAGUGGAUCCUGAGUACGACGGAGCACGUGAAAUUCCGUCGGAAUCUGGGAGGACCAUCUCCUAAGGCUAAAUACUCUCUAGUGACCGAUAGUGAACCAGUACCGUGAGGGAAAGGUGAAAAGUACCCCGGAAGGGGAGUGAAAGAGAACUUGAAACCGUGUGCUUACAAGUAGUCAGAGCCCGUUAAUGGGUGAUGGCGUGCCUUUUGUAGAAUGAACCGGCGAGUUACGAUCUGAUGCAAGGUUAAGCAGAAAAUGUGGAGCCGUAGCGAAAGCGAGUCUGAAUAGGGCGAAUGAGUAUUUGGUCGUAGACCCGAAACCAGGUGAUCUACCCUUGGUCAGGUUGAAGUUCAGGUAACACUGAAUGGAGGACCGAACCGACUUACGUUGAAAAGUGAGCGGAUGAACUGAGGGUAGCGGAGAAAUUCCAAUCGAACUUGGAGAUAGCUGGUUCUCUCCGAAAUAGCUUUAGGGCUAGCCUCAAGUGAUGAUUAUUGGAGGUAGAGCACUGUUUGGACGAGGGGCCCCUCUCGGGUUACCGAAUUCAGACAAACUCCGAAUGCCAAAUAAUUUAACUUGGGAGUCAGAAUGUGGGUGAUAAGGUCCAUAUUCGAAAGGGAAACAGCCCAGACCACCAGCUAAGGUCCCAAAAUAUAUGUUAAGUGGAAAAGGAUGUGGCGUUGCCCAGACAACUAGGAUGUUGGCUUAGAAGCAGCCAUCAUUUAAAGAGUGCGUAAUAGCUCACUAGUCGAGUGACACUGCGCCGAAAAUGUACCGGGGCUAAACAUAUUACCGAAGCUGUGGAUUGUCCUUUGGACAAUGGUAGGAGAGCGUUCUAAGGGCGUUGAAGCAUGAUCGCAAGGACAUGUGGAGCGCUUAGAAGUGAGAAUGCCGGUGUGAGUAGCGAAAGACGGGUGAGAAUCCCGUCCACCGAUUGACUAAGGUUUCCAGAGGAAGGCUCGUCCGCUCUGGGUUAGUCGGGUCCUAAGCUGAGGCCGACAGGCGUAGGCGAUGGAUAACAGG